RNAcentral lists this ribosomal RNA (242 nucleotides) under uncultured Actinomycetales bacterium. RNAcentral's name for it is "partial 16S ribosomal RNA". It matches the Rfam family "Bacterial small subunit ribosomal RNA", at positions 88 to 334 of the family's 1533-position model. The record is from RNAcentral. Lineage: Bacteria; Bacillati; Actinomycetota; Actinomycetes; Actinomycetales.
UACUCGAGUGGCGAACGGGUGAGUAACACGUGGGUGAUCUGCCCUGCACUUCGGGAUAAGCCUGGGAAACUGGGUCUGAUACCGGAUAGGACCACAUUUUGGAUGGUGUGGUGGAAAGUUUUUCGGUGUGGGAUGAGCUCGCGACCUAUCAGCUUGUUGGUGGGGUAAUGGCCUACCAAGGCGUCGACGGGUAGCCGGCCUGAGAGGGUGUACGGCCACAUUGGGACUGAGAUACGGCCCAG